UGAAGAAAUAUAGUUUUAUAGAACUAGCAGAGGCAACUAAUUUCUUCUCCAAUGAUUAUCUCCUUGGCGAGGGUGCUUUUGGUCAAGUCUUUAGGGGAAUCUUGGAUGGUGAAGUCGUUGCUAUCAAGAAAGUUAAAGGGAUUCUUAAUCUGGAAAACUAUUUGGAGGACAUUGAGCAGCUUAACAUUGUGAGUCACCCAAAUAUUGUUAAGUUGAUUGGGUACUCCGUUCAGGGAGCCAAUAGAUUGCUUGUUUCAGAGUGUGUUCCCAACGGGAGCUUGGAACAUCAUUUACAUUAUGCAAGAGACACGAUUUUGGAUUGGUCAAAGAGAAUGAAAAUCGCCACGAACUCUGCAAAAGGGUUGCUACAUCUUCAUGAAGGCAGUAGACUCAAAAUUAUACAUGGAAACAUCAAAGCAGCAAAUAUCCUUCUUGAUAAUGACUUUGAACCAAAGGUGGUAGAUUUUAUGCUUGCAGCUCUGUUUCCGAAUUUUGAUAGUGUUUCCCACAUCAGCACCCGUCCAUUCGCACCUAACUUAUAUAGAGAUACAGAAUACCGG
This 560-nucleotide unclassified non-coding RNA is filed under the name Hevea brasiliensis (rubber tree). The record is from RNAcentral. Lineage: Eukaryota; Viridiplantae; Streptophyta; Magnoliopsida; Malpighiales; Euphorbiaceae.